Molecule: ribosomal RNA, 446 nt
Filed under: uncultured bacterium
Lineage: Bacteria
Description: partial 16S ribosomal RNA
Rfam family: Bacterial small subunit ribosomal RNA
Source: RNAcentral
GUAGGGAAUAUUGGGCAAUGGAGGCAACUCUGACCCAGCCAUGCCGCGUGCAGGAAGACGGUCCUCUGGAUUGUAAACUGCUUUUGAAUGGGAAGAAACGCACUUUUGCGAAAGUGUUUGACGGUACUAUUAGAAUAAGCACCGGCUAACUCCGUGCCAGCAGCCGCGGUAAUACGGAGGGUGCAAGCGUUAUCCGGAUUUAUUGGGUUUAAAGGGUGCGUAGGCGGCUUGAUAAGUCUGGGGUUAAAGGCGGCAGCUUAACUGUACGCAUGCCCUAGAUACUGUUGAGCUUGAGUGACCUGGAGGUAGCUGGAAUUCCCUGUGUAGCGGUGAAAUGCAUAGAUACGGGGAGGAAUACCGAUUGCGAAGGCAUGUUACUACGGGUAAACUGACGCUGAUGCACGAAAGCGUGGGGAUCAAACAGGAUUAGAUACCCGAGUAGUCCC